CCGUACCGGGGAACAGCGAGUGGCGGCAGCUUCCUUGCCCCACCGCUGCUACUUCGCAAGGGAGAGACUGAAAGGAAGUUUGUUGCCGUGCCCACCACCCCUCGUGCGCUGUCUGGGCAGUUGGGACCCCGUCUGCUGCCAGCUGCUUGGGGGCGGGCGUGGGGAAGUGAUGCCGAUCGCCGCCAAUUUGCAACCUUGCGCUGUGCAGCCCGACUCCCGCCUCUUUGCUUCCGCCUGCCUGCGGAACCACGACCGGGAAUCCGCAAAGUCCGGGGAGGACGGCGUUGAAGAUCGAUAGGAUCCCCUUCUCCAGCAGCCGCCUCCCCCCACCCUCUGCCAGCAGCCACCGCCAACCCUACACAGGCCGAGCCACCCGGAACAAGGAACUCAGAGCCAGGGCAGAGGCAGACACAUCGCCGCUCCGGGCACCAGACGUCCUGUGUCAGGUCCCAGAAGUUGACACCCUCCGCAACACUUCAGUGGAGUUAUGCCCGCCCCUCCGGGUAUGUGUCCCCACGGGAGACACGACGGGUGUCUGGACGCCAGGUGGUAAAACACCCGGGGACGGGGUAGAGACCAGAGUCGUGGUAUCGCACUCCAUUUGCUUUGAGGUGUCUGCCCUCAGACGUCAGAGUUUAUGACCUUUUUGAGCCGUCGCCUCGCGCGGCCAGGAGGGUGCUGAGUUCCCGAGGGUUACAUGAGAGCACCAGCGCACACGGGGGAGACGUCGGGGUUCCCGGAAAAGGGACUGAGAAAAAACUCUGCUAGGGCUAAUUAUAAAAAACAGAUAAACUUGUCUGGGCUCUUGUUCGAGUUUUGUACCUCAUGGCGAACAGCUGAAACUUUGGAGUGUGUCAGGGGUAAAGUGAAACAGAUUCACCAAGAUCGGGAGUUUGUGAAGUCUUCAGGACUGUGUUGUGAAGCCAUUUCCUUCUCUGCGUAUUUUCUCCUUGUAUUUCUGGUGUUGGAAUCGUUUAGUGGACUGGACUGCCGGAGAAAGUUUCUGAACUCUCUUGCUCCGUGAGGCUCAAAGGAGUGCAUGGUUCUUCCCACAGACCCUGAGCUGAGUGUUAGGUUAGAAACAUUUUAAAUUAUUCCAUCAUUUAUGUGGUAUUAGAAAUUAUGCUGUUGGAGAAGAAAUACUGUAAUUAAUUUUGAAAGGGUACAUUUGCUCUUAAUGUAAUAAUUGUUAAUAUAGUAUCUGUGCUGUCUUCAUAUUUCCUAGACUGUUGGUAUAGUGUUUUAUUCUUAAUUUGAGAUUACUGUUUUUUUACCGUGCCUUUAAAUAUGUCUGUACCAUCGUAUAAACUUUUCUUGUAUUCUGAAUAAUACCAGGGCUGUGUAACUUUGAUUGUAGUUAUUCUGCUUAGCUGAUUCUCCAAAAUGUUAUGUGAGAUUCAGUGAUUGUCUAUGGUUAGCUCUGAUCUCUUUGGUAAAGAAAUAGCCCCCUAAUACAGCUAAUCUGUUGAUCAAUGUAGUAGAUAGUGUAUGGGUGAUCUACUCUUAAUUUCCUUAACGAGUGGCUGCUUGCCUUGUUACUGUCCUUUGGCUUUAUUAGUAUUGGAAAGUGAACUGACACACUUUUGUAAGCAUCAAGUGUUUGAUUUUUAGAAUAUUUAUUUUAUGGGGAAACUUGCGAUCCUUCAGGAGUGACAUUCGGUUCCAAAAUUACAUGCGUAUAUAAAUCCAAAGCAGCCCCUAACUUGUUGACUACUUUUUUCCUUUACUGUCAGCAUCUUUUGAAACUAUUAUUAAGACUGAUAUGGCUUCUUAAAUUCUUGUAUAUGUUGGUAACUCCAAAAUGCCGGGAAAACAUCUUAUGAAAAACCUAUCUUUCUGCCUAAUAAUCUCUGUAUAUUAACCAUUUGACACCCGACUUUUUAAGUGUCAGGUCCAUUUAGUGAUUCUAUGAUCAAGAGUCUAUGAUCUAGAUAAUGAUAUCUCUCUGAGGAACAACUUUUGACCAUUUAAUUCACUUUUAUUUUGAUAUAUGAUAUUUCCAAGACUGAGACUCUAAUACUUAAAUUUAUGUUUAUUACUGAACAUGGGAUUUUUUUCCAGACUGCACUGGGAUUUUCCAUAUGAUUAAAUUUUAAACUCAACUCCUGCUUUAAGGACUGGAGUAUUAAAUGCUUUUUCACCAUUGUUUGCAUAUGGCAAUCAAAACUAUUAUAUGUAUAAUAUCUUAAAAUCCUAUAUCUAAAACUAUAUAACUACAUAUAAUAACCAUAUCUAUAACAUAGGUUUAAUAUAUGCAUUGUAUUUAUAUAUAUAUUAGAUAGGCAUUUAUAUUUAUGCAUUGGUGCAGGGAGCAAAGCAAACAAUGAGAGAUCAGUCUUUGGGAUUGGAGCAUGGAGAAAUAGACUAAUUAGUCCUUUCCUAGAAUAGAUUUGUAAUUGUACUUAUUUCUUGGAUAGUUACUUAGAUGACUUAUGGAAGUGUGUAGUAUGGAUGUUUACACUCUUAGAAAUCUUGCUCUAAAAUGAGAUAUAUUUUAUACACAAUAAGGUUCACCACUUUCCCUUGUGGUUGGAAAUGUUUUAAAGGAAUACCAUGUUAAAAAUUUAUAAGGAAUUUUAGUUUUUACAUUUGAAUUGGUUUAUAUGUUGCAGAAAUAUCUCUGUAUGUAUAUUGGAGAUCACUUCUUAUAUAGUUAUCUCUCUUUUAUAAUUAUGUGGACCUUUCACAAAAUAUGAUAUGUAACAGGAAAAAAAAUCUUCGGAUAUAAGUGAUCUCAGAAAGGGAAGUUAUACUUGGCAAAAGUUCAUUUCAAUUCUGCUCUUUAGCAAUUGGACAUUCUUGGUGUAGUUGAACAACUCAAGUUUAAGUCUGAUCCCAAAUGUUCUCCUAGCUCUCCCACACUUCUGAUAAUCUCAUAAUAAAAUUGACCUAGUGCAUUACUGUGAAAGUAAAGGUUUUACAUUGCCUGUGACUUGGAAACUCGUAGGUACAGUAAAGAAAUAAAACCUUUAUUGCUUGUUCAGUUCAUCACAAUCUUGGUAACUGUGUACCAAGAUCUUGCCAUUGGAUUAGCGUGAGUUCACUUUCUUGCCUUUUUUCUGAAAAGGGAUAGAGCUUUGGGGGGUUGUUCAAGAGUUUUGGCCUUCAUUAAUGCAGAUCUUGUGCUAAACAUUUAGUUUUUGAGCAAUCUCUGGCAGAGAUGUUGUUGCUGUCAGAAAAACUUGUUUGCAACUAUGGCACUUGGAAGACUUAGGACCAGUUUGUUCAAAGAGUUUAGUUCUUUUAUAUACUAGAAUUAAAUGGUCAAGUUUUAAAAUAUGUUUGGAACUUCAUAGCAAAUGGUUGUUCCUUGUUACUUAUAAUUUCAAACUUAUAUAAACAGCAUAUGUAUUAUGAUCUGUGAUUAAUAUUCUAGUGUUAAGAACAUGUAGAUAUUUUGCAGACCAAAUCAGGUGGUUUGUAGACAGGAGAAAAGAAAUGAUUCCCAUCCCACCCCGUACCCUGGGAAAAGACCAUUUUGGAUCUGUGAAAAUCUAUUUAGUGCAUUUAAAUAUUUGCUACCAGAGAAUGAGUCAUGCACUUUUUUGUGGUAUCAGGAAGUUGAAUUUUUUUGAUGUUGCUGAAAAUCCUAUUAGUCAUAUUCUUGAAAAUAAGUUUCCCAUUUUUGCCAAAAGGUAAAAUAUCAAGAUCAAGACUAUAUUAUUAAACCCUCUUCAAAUUUUGGGAGUAACUAAACAGUAACAGCUAAAUAUAUUUUACAAGUAGUAUCCACAGAGAUAGACACAGAAACACACACGCACAGACACAUGCACACUCAUAGAAUCAUAGAAUAAUUUAGGUUGAAAGGGACCUCCAGAGGUCAUCUAGUCUAACCUCUUGCUCAGAACAAGUCUAAUUAGGUCAAGUUGCUCAAGGCCUUGAACAGCUUCAAGAAUGGAGAUACUUCAACGUCUUUAGGCAAUCUGUUCCAGUAUUCAUAGAAUCACAGAAUCAUAGAAUAGAUUGGGUUGGAAAAGACCUCCAAGAUUAUCGAGUCCAACCCCUGAUCCAACUCCAAUUACUAUAUCAUGGCACUAAGGAUCACGUCCAAUCUCUGUUUAAAAACCUCCAGAGAUGGUGAAUCCACCACCUCUCUGGGCAGGCCGUUCCAAUGCCUGAUUACCCUCUCUGUAAAGAACUUCUUCCUAACAUCUAACCUAAACCUCCCCUGGCAGAGCUUGAGCCCUUGUCCUAUUGUUGGUUGCCUGGGAGAAGAGACCAACCCCCACCUGGCUAUAACCUCCCUUCAGGUAGUUGAAGAGAGUGAUGAGGUCACCUCUAAGCCUUCUCUUCUCCAGACUAAACAACCCCAGCUCCCUCAACCUCUCCUCAUAGGACUUGUGCUCAAGUCCCUUCACCAGCCUCGUUGCUCUUCUCUGGACCCGCUCCAGCACCUCAAUAUCCUUACUGAGCUGAGGGGCCCAGAGCUGAACACAAUACUCAAGGUGUGGCCUCACCAACGCAGAGUACAGGGGAAGGAUCACUUCCCUCGUCCUGCUGGCCACACUGUUCUUGAUGCAGGCCAGGAUGCCAUUGGCCUUCUUGGCCACCUGGGCACACUGCUGGCUCAUGUUCAACCUCCUGUCAAUCAGCACCCCCAGGUCCCUUUCCACCUGGCUGCUCUCCAGCCACUCUGUCCCCAGCCUGUAGCGCUGCAUGGGGUUGUUGUGGCCAAAGUGCAGGACCUGGCACUUGGCCUUGUUGAACUUCAUCCCAUUGGAGUCAGCCCAUCUCUCCAGUCUAUCCAGGUCCCUCUGCAGAGCCCUCCUGCCUUCUGGUAGGUUAACACUCCCUCCCAACUUGGUGUCAUAUGCAAAUUUGCUGAUGAUGGACUCAAUCCCCUCAUCUAGGUCAUCGAUAAAGAUGUUAAACAGGACUGGGCCCAGCACUGACCCCUGGGGAACACCACUGGUGACCGGCCGCCAACCGGAUGCAACCCCGUUCACCACCACUCUCUGGGCCCGGCCCUCCAACCAGUUCCUGACCCAGCACAGAGUGCCCCUGUCCAAGCCAUAGGCUUGAUGAUGGAGAGCGGCUUGGCAAGCUCUUCUACCAGCUCCCUCAUUACCCUAGGAUGGAUCCCAUCUGGUCCCAUAGACUUGUGAGGAUCCAGGUGGCUCAGUAAGUCACUAACUAUUUCCUCCUGGAAUACAAGGGGGCUAUUUGGUUUCCUCUCUCUGUCUACCAGCUCCAGAGGCCAGUUGCCUUGAGGGCCACCUGUCUUACUGGUAAAAACUGAGGCAAAGUAGGUGUUAAGUACCUCAGCCUUCUCUUCAUCUCUAUUAACUGUUUCCCUCCAAGUCCAUCAAAGAAUGGAGGUUUUCUUUGCCCCUCCUUUUGUUAUUAAUGUAUUUAUAGAAGGACUUUUUGUUAUCCCUAACAGAAGCGGCCAAAAUUACUUCAAAUUGCACUUUUGUAUCCUUGAUUUUCUUUCUGCAUGAUCUAGCUGUCUUCCUGAAUUCUUCGUAAGUAGCCAUCCCUUUCUUCCAUAGUCAGUAAACUCUCUUUUUAUCCCUGAUUUCCUUCACAAUCUCCCUGUUUAACCAAGCUGGUUGUCUUCCCCGCCGGCUUGCCUUUCGGCACACCGGUAUGGUCUGUUCCUGUGCACUCAAAACUUCCUGCUUGAAGCACAUCCAUCCCUCCUGGACCCCCUUGUUUUCAAGGGUUGUUUCCCAGGGUAUGCUCUGGACUAGACUUCUGAAUAGGUCAAAAUCUGCCCUCUGGAAGUCCAACGUAGAGGUUUUAUUGUUGGCUCUCCUUGAAUCUCUGAGUAUUGAAAAUUCUAUUAUUUCAUGGUCACUAUUUCCCAGGCGGCCUUCAACCACUACAUCUCCCACCAACCCCUCUCUGUUUGUAAACAGCAGGUCUAGCAGGGCCUUACCCCUGGUAGGUUCAUUUACCAGCUGAUGAAGGAAAUUGUCCUCUAUACACUCCAGGAAAUUCCUAGACUGACUCUUCUCUGCAGUAUUGAGCUCCCAGCAGAUAUCCGGCAGGUUAAAGUCACCCACAAGGACAAGGGCUGACGAUUUCGAGACAUCUGCCAGCUGCUUGUAGAAUAAUUCAUCCCCUUCAUCAUCCCGGUAGGGCGGUCUGUAACAGACACCCAUGAUGAUGUCGACCUUGUUGGUCUUCCCCCUGAUUCUGGUCCACAAGCACUUAAACUUAUCGUUGCUGACCUCAAGUUCAACAGAGUCAAGAGACUCUCUAACAUAUAAAGCCACCCCUCCACCUCUCCUACCCUGCCUGUUCUUUCUGAAGAGCUUGUAACCUUCCAUAGCAGCACUCCAGUCAUGCGAGUCAUCCCACCACGUUUCUGUGAUGGUGACUACAUCAUAGCCUUCCCGCUGCACAAUGGUUUCCAGCUCCUCUUGUUUGUUGCCCAUACUGCGUGCAUUAGUAUACGUGCACUUGAGGUGGGCUGCUGAUUUCAUUCUUAACUCAGGUUUUCCAUCCUUAGGCUGAUCACUGGGGAGCCCGGUUUCAACCCCUUCCCCCUUCAAACCUAGUUUAAAACCCUCCUGAUCAUCCUGGCUAACUUAUGGGCUACAGUCCUCUUCCUCUUCCUAGAAAGAUGAAUUCCAUCUGAUUUUAAGAGACUAGGUACCAUGGAGUUUGCCCCAUGGUCAAAAAAACCAAAAUUUUGAUGGUGGCACCAAUCCUUUAGCCAUCUGUUGAUGAGUUGGGCUUUUUUACUCCUCUCUUUAUUUAACUCCUCAUCCAUCCCAGAUAGUACAGGAACUGAGGCAAAUAUCACCUGUGCUCCUGUCCCCUGAACUGACCAACCCAGUGCUUUAAAGUCUUUUUUAAUUAUCGUGGCACUUCUUCGAUUAAUGUCCUCACUGCCAGCCUGGACUACCACCAGUGGAUAAUAGUCUGAGGGCUGAAUUAACUCAGGAAGUCUCCUACUAAUAUCUCUCACCCUGGCCCCAGGAAGGCAGCAUACUUCUCUCUGGGAUGGGUCUGGGAGACAUAUAGGGCCCUCAGUUCCCCUCAGAAAGGAGUCACUGACUACAACUACCCUUCUUUUUUUUAUACCUGUGGUUGUAAUCUGUCUUGUAGACAGGGCCGAACCAGGAGGCUCUCCAGAGAGAUCUUCUUGGCUGUCCUCUACCUGACUGUCUGGGUCCAGGGUCUCAUAUCUAUUCUUCAAGGGCACCCUGGGGGGUGAUGGGGGUCGAGAGAGAGUUCUUUUACAUCUCCCAUUAGGGACCUGUUUCCAUUCCCCCCCAUCAAUUUGGUCUGCUCCAUCUGCCUUAUGGCAGGAGGGGCAGGGUUUCACCGUCUCCUGUUGGACUUCCUUAGGGUUCAAAAGGGUUUGACUCCACCAGUCAAUUUCCUUUUCACUCUCCCUAAUGCACCUUAAUCUCUCUACCUCUUCCUUAAGUUCUGCUACCAGGCACAGCAAGUCACUCACCUGCUCGCAUUGUACACAGCUACCUCCUAUACCAUCCUCCGGUACCAUUGUCAGGCUCAGACACUCAGCACAUCCAGAGACCUGGGUGGCUGCAUCCUUCUUCGAGGGGAGUGUCUGAGCAGACACACUCCUAGUAUUAACAGCAGCAAUGGCUUUUGUUUUUCUGGAAACCAUUGCUAGCUUUAAAAAGCACACUCACCUACGAGAAGUGGGAGCUGGUUGUGCCCUGCCUGCUUGAAACACUUUGCACUUGCUAACGAGCCCAACCCACCCCUCACUCACCCGAAUCGGUUGCGGGGAGGAGCCAAACCUGGGCAGCAAAUGGCCAAGCAGCUCUUCUGGAGGCUCUUAUAUAGCCUCCCCUCGCACUUGCUAAUGAGCCUGACCCACCCCUCACUCACCUGAAUCGGUUCCAGGGAGGAACCAAGCCUGGGCAGCUCCAGGAGGGAGAGAAACAACAAAAAACAUCCUCCCCAAUGGGAAAAAAACCUCACUCUUUCAGCUGACCAAAUCGUGCAGUAUAGUUUUCCUUCUCCCUUUUAUGUGCACAAGAACCACUGCUAAGAAAGAAACAAAUGGGAACAGGGAAGGGAAAAGAAAGAAAGAAAAAAAAAGAACUCCCAAAACACUUCCUCUCCAAUGAAAAAUCCAAGCAGAAUCCACAGCUGGCAACCAGGCUGAGAACAAAACCCCACGGAGCUUCCACUCUGACCUUUUUCCAGCUUUAGUAGCCAGCCAGAACUCCUCCCACCCCGUUUCCCAGGAGAUGAGAGAAAAAAAAAAGAAAGAAGUUCCUCAACCCCAUUUCUCAAAAGAUGAGAUUCUGAGGCCGUUAACUAGAAGGCAGCUUCUUCUGUGCUCCUUAACUGCCCACUUAACAUCCCUGCACGCAGUGGGCAGGGGGAAGGGAAAAAUUCCUGCUUAGUUUCUAAGAACCAGCAAAACCAUGACAUUAAGAUAGAAUUAUGUCAGCCAAACAUAGAACUGAAAACCUGAAUGAGAUGCAAGAUGUAGGGGGGAGCCACAGAUCUGAGUCUGCACAUCUUGCCCUAUCCCUCAGCAAAGUGGUCAUCUGGCAAUAGUUGCCAGCAGCAACCAUCCCAAACCACAUGUUGGUCAGAAGCCUGACUGGAGAAGGAUUAGGAAUGUUUUCAGUCUGUGAGAAACAAAGUCUCGAGUUAUGGUAGGUUUUCGAAUAAGAAUUUAUUAUAUGGAAAAAGCAAACAGCAUGCUGGACGCAGAGUGGAGUCUUCACUCCAAAACCUCUGUGUGUCCAAUACAGUAUUUGACUACCAUUUAUUCUACUUAUUUCAUGCAUAUUCAUUACAUCAUAUACAUUUAACAUAUGUUUAUUUUCACAACUAGAGCUAGGUUGUUAUCUCUACAGCAGUGAUAGUUUUCCUAUAAUUCAUAUAUUCUUGGACAACAAGGCACCUAGAAGAUCAUUGACUUUACAGAAUUCUACCAUAAUUCAUUUUAGGAAAGCAGAGAUGGUUUAUGGCUUUUGACCUUGAUGACCUUACAAAUGGUCUGCCUUAUUUCUUUAUGGGGGUACAAUUAAGUUUUACAAUCUCUUUGUUUUAUUCUUUUACUGACACAAAUUAUGGCUAUGAAUAUUACAAUCCCUCCCCCUUUUCCAUUAACUUAUUAAUUCGUGUCUUUCGCUCUAAUUUGGACAAUACAAAUUUUGUACAUUUUUCAUUUUGGUUGGUUGGGUCUUGGGCAAUUAAUAACACUUUGGCUCUUUUUGCAGCUUCUAGAUCCAUGGGCAUAGUAGAUAUCUGUAUUCUCUACUAUUGAGACUAUCAAUUUUUUAAAACAAGGAAUCAAACAUGAUAAAAAUAUAAUACUCGUUAAAAUACAUCUCUGUCUCAUUGUAUAGAGUUAAAAGUUUCUGAAUGUCUUUAGUCUCCAUUUGCUGGUCUUCACUUGAAUUUUUAUUUUCAAAUUCUCUGUUGGUUGUGUUUUCUACACAGGUCUUGGGGUCUUUUUAACUCUGGUGUAUUGUAUUUAAGGAAGUUGUUUUUUGGUUUUGAUUGUAGUGUAAGUAGUCAGCAACACUUGAUAUGGACUUCUCCUCUUUUGGCUCCAGGGCCUGUAAAAGGUCUUACAUACACAUAGUUUUUGGGUACAAUAUUAUGAAUUGGCCCAUCGGGGCCACAAGCUUGUGUCUUCAGGACUAGGUUUUCAAUAUUUUUAAGUUGUUUUUGCAAAUGUGUAAUAUAAUUUAUUAAUGUUUUUGUUCCCACUUUACUUGACACUUCUUCCUAUACUAUAUAGGGCUUUUCGAAAAGUAUUUUUUGAUUAGUUCACUAAGGAUACACCUCAGGUCAACCUGAAAAAGUGUCAGUGAAAAUGAGCAAAUAUCCAAACACCCCUUUUCUGGGCAGUUCUGAAAAAUCAAUUUGCCACUGUUGUCCUGGAAAAUUACCUUUCCCUAUUUGUCUAAGUUGAAGUUGGUUAUGGGUGCCUGGGUUGUUCUGCAAACAAAUUUCACACCGUUGGGUCACCUGCCUCACAGUGGUAUAGAGAUUUUGUGUUAUUAUAUUUUGGCUUAGAUAUUUGUAUAGAGCUUCUGUUCCCUAUUGAUUUCUUGUGUUCUGUCAUGAUAAGGGCCCAUAAAAUAGAAGAGGGUAUUAUUAACUUACCAUCCGGUGUCUUGGCCCAUUUGUUUUCUUCUA
Long non-coding RNA from Myiozetetes cayanensis, 10095 nucleotides. RefSeq lists it as uncharacterized. The transcript has 3 exons. NCBI's taxonomy places the organism in Eukaryota, Metazoa, Chordata, Aves, Passeriformes, Tyrannidae. The record is from RefSeq and is a predicted model, not a curated record.